UACGUAGGGGGGCUAGCGUUGUCCGGAAUCAUUGGGCGUAAAGCGCGCGUAGGCGGCCCGGUAAGUCCGCUGUGAAAGUCAAAGGCUCAACCUUUGAAUGUCAGCGGAUACUGCCGGGCUAGAGUCCGGAAGAGGCGAGUGGAAUUCCCGUGGUGUAGCGGUGGAAUGCGCAGAUAUCAGGAGGAACACCAACGGCGAAGGCAGUGUCCUGGCGCGUAACUGACGCUGAGGUGCGAAAGCCAGGGGAGCGAACGGG
This 256-nucleotide ribosomal RNA is filed under the name uncultured bacterium. RNAcentral describes it as "partial 16S ribosomal RNA". It matches the Rfam family "Bacterial small subunit ribosomal RNA", at positions 524 to 776 of the family's 1533-position model. The record is from RNAcentral.